UAAGGCAAGAGAACAUUUAUGAUCAAACUAAUACAUAUGUUAUCCAUAUAUGGAUCAAAACGUGUUUCAAUUACAAAAAGUUCUCGAGGUGGCAUGACAAUUUUGCAUUUACCCCCUUGCCGCCCUUACAGAGAGCGGAAAGGGCCUAAAAAGGCCCGAUGUGCCGUUGCCGGCCAUCCCUCCCGGCCGGGUGGCCGUUUCCCAUGUCAGCAUUCCGCUCUUUCAGAGGACGGCAGGAGAUCACCCCGCGGUCGAUUCAGCUAGCUCCGCGGCCGCGUGCGCGGGAUCACGAAAAAAAUAUCCAAUUGGUGCGUAUGAGAUUACGAGAGGAGUAAGAAGGAGGAGAAGAGAAGAAGGUGGACUUACGUCGCAGGACUUCGGCACGACGAGGAGGUGGCGCAGGCCGACCUCGCGGAAGAGGACGAGCGCCUUGGCCAGCGAC
Oryza brachyantha (malo sina) is the source of this 442-nucleotide long non-coding RNA. RefSeq lists it as uncharacterized. The record is from RefSeq and is a predicted model, not a curated record. NCBI's taxonomy places the organism in Eukaryota, Viridiplantae, Streptophyta, Magnoliopsida, Poales, Poaceae. The transcript is spliced from 3 exons.